Molecule: ribosomal RNA, 506 nt
Filed under: Echinopericlimenes calcaratus
Lineage: Eukaryota; Metazoa; Arthropoda; Malacostraca; Decapoda; Palaemonidae
Description: partial 16S ribosomal RNA
Rfam family: Bacterial large subunit ribosomal RNA
Source: RNAcentral
GUCUGUAUGUUAUACAAUAUAAAGUCUAACCUGCCCACUGAAUUUUAAAGGGCCGCGGUAAUUUGACCGUGCGAAGGUAGCAUAAUCAUUAGUCUUUUAAUUGGAGGCUUGUAUGAAUGGUUGGAUGAGGGGCAUUCUGUCUUCUUUUAUAGUGUGAAUUUAACUUUUAAGUGAAAAGGCUUAAAUUAUUUAGUGGGACGAUAAGACCCUAUAAAACUUUAUAUAGUUUGUGUAUAAUAAGUGUAUUUAGUUUAAAAUUAUUUUAUUCAAUUUAUAUUUCGUUGGGGAGAUGUCUAUAUAAUUUGUAACUGUUUUUUAAAUUAAAUAAUUAUAAUUAGUUUUUGAUCCUUUAUUAAAGAUUAAAAGAUUAAGUUACUUUAGGGAUAACAGCGUAAUUUUCUCUGAGAGUCCUUAUCGACGAGAGUAGUUGCGACCUCGAUGUUGAAUUAAAAUUUCAGAUUGGUGUAGCCGCUAUUCUGGUAGGUCUGUUCGACCUUUAAAAUUUU